ACUCCUACGGGAGGCAGCAGUGGGAAUCUUAGACAAUGGGCGAAAGCCUGAUCUAGCCAUGCCGCGUGAGUGACGAAGGCCUUAGGGUCGUAAAGCUCUUUCGCCAGGGAUGAUAAUGACAGUACCUGGUAAAGAAACCCGGCUAACUCCGUGCCAGCAGCCGCGGUAAUACGGAGGGGUUAGCGUUGUUCGGAAUUACUGGGCGUAAAGCGCGCGUAGGCGGAUCAGAAAGUUGGGGGUGAAAUCCCAGGGCUCAACCCUGGAACUGCCUCCAAAACUCCUGGUCUUGAGUUCGAGAGAGGUGAGUGGAAUUCCGAGUGUAGAGGUGAAAUUCGUAGAUAUUCGGAGGAACACCAGUGGCGAAGGCGGCUCACUGGCUCGAUACUGACGCUGAGGUGCGAAAGUGUGGGGGAGCAAACAGGAUUAGAUACCCUGGUAGGCUCUG
Molecule: ribosomal RNA, 445 nt
Filed under: uncultured bacterium
Lineage: Bacteria
Description: bacterial SSU rRNA
Rfam family: Bacterial small subunit ribosomal RNA
Source: RNAcentral